AAACAUUUCUAUAAAGUAACCAGCGCAGUGUUCCAACACCAGAAGCAUAUGGAAGAAACAUAUAGACAAAGCUUUUAGCGGUAAAGAGAGGUGCAGCAGACCUUUGUUUAAUCGAAGCACGCUUCAUUGGGAAUUUUAACCAAUCAUGAACCAGCGGAGUAAGCUCAAUACAUAGCCAUGUAUAUGUUUCUCUGAAUAGUGAUCGAGUUUGUUUAUUAUUCUGCUAUGCGGCAUCACGUCAAGGACAGUGCAAUCAAAACUACCUCACAACUCAGAAUAAACGGCAAUUUCCCACCAAUGAAGAACUGACAUUCGAGCCAGAAUCAAGACACUUUCAUUGAAAUUUAGACAUCAACGAGGUAGAUAUGAAUAAAUUGCACUCGCUUCCAAUAAAAGAGAACUGGCUGCAAGAUACUAUCAAGAAACUAUAUAAACGUGUCGCUUAAUCAUCCUUUUGCGAACUUCAAUAAAGUUGAGGAUAAAAAAAAUACACAAUGACGUUGGUUAUUGUUUCA
Molecule: long non-coding RNA, 515 nt
Filed under: Octopus bimaculoides (California two-spot octopus)
Lineage: Eukaryota; Metazoa; Mollusca; Cephalopoda; Octopoda; Octopodidae
Description: uncharacterized LOC106877782
Source: RNAcentral